Molecule: ribosomal RNA, 253 nt
Filed under: uncultured bacterium
Lineage: Bacteria
Description: partial 16S ribosomal RNA
Rfam family: Bacterial small subunit ribosomal RNA
Source: RNAcentral
UACAGAGGGUGCAAGCGUUGCUCGGAAUCAUUGGGCGUAAAGGGUAGGUAGGUGGUCUUAUUUGUCUGGGGUGAAAGCCUUGAGCUUAACUCAAGAAGUGCCCCAGAAACGGUAAGACUCGAGUCCUGGAGAGGGUCGUGGAAUUCCCGGUGUAGCGGUGAAAUGCGUAGAGAUCGGGAGGAACACCAGAGGCGAAAGCGGCGACCUGGACAGGCACUGACACUCAACUACGAAAGCGUGGGGAGCAAACAGG